This 623-nucleotide ribosomal RNA is filed under the name Salmonella enterica. RNAcentral's name for it is "partial 23S ribosomal RNA". It matches the Rfam family "Bacterial large subunit ribosomal RNA", at positions 582 to 1207 of the family's 2925-position model. Lineage: Bacteria; Pseudomonadati; Pseudomonadota; Gammaproteobacteria; Enterobacterales; Enterobacteriaceae. The record is from RNAcentral. RNAcentral also lists the same sequence under 1 other name.
CCCUUUGGGUGUGACUGCGUACCUUUUGUAUAAUGGGUCAGCGACUUAUAUUCUGUAGCAAGGUUAACCGAAUAGGGGAGCCGGAGGGAAACCGAGUCUUAACCGGGCGUUAAGUUGCAGGGUAUAGACCCGAAACCCGGUGAUCUAGCCAUGGGCAGGUUGAAGGUUGGGUAACACUAACUGGAGGACCGAACCGACUAAUGUUGAAAAAUUAGCGGAUGACCUGUGGCUGGGGGUGAAAGGCCAAUCAAACCGGGAGAUAGCUGGUUCUCCCCGAAAGCUAUUUAGGUAGCGCCUCGUGAAUUCAUCUCCGGGGGUAGAGCACUGUUUCGGCUAGGGGGCCAUCCCGGCUUACCAACCCGAUGCAAACUGCGAAUACCGGAGAAUGUUAUCACGGGAGACACACGGCGGGUGCUAACGUCCGUCGUGAAGAGGGAAACAACCCAGACCGCCAGCUAAGGUCCCAAAGUCAUGGUUAAGUGGGAAACGAUGUGGGAAGGCCCAGACAGCCAGGAUGUUGGCUUAGAAGCAGCCAUCAUUUAAAGAAAGCGUAAUAGCUCACUGGUCGAGUCGGCCUGCGCGGAAGAUGUAACGGGGCUAAACCAUGCACCGAAGCUGCGGCA